GAUGAACGCUGGCGGCGUGCCUAAUACAUGCAAGUCGAGCGAACGGACGAGAAGCUUGCUUCUCUGAUGUUAGCGGCGGACGGGUGAGUAACACGUGGAUAACCUACCUAUAAGACUGGGAUAAAUUCGGGAAACCGGAGCUAAUACCGGAUAAUAUUUUGAACAGCAUGGUUCAAAAGUGAAAGACGGUCUUGCUGUCACUUAUAGAUGGAUCCGCGCUGCAUUAGCUAGUUGGUAAGGUAACGGCUUACCAAGGCAACGAUGCAUAGCCGACCUGAGAGGGUGAUCGGCCACACUGGAACUGAGACACGGUCCAGACUCCUACGGGAGGCAGCAGUAGGGAAUCUUCCGCAAUGGGCGAAAGCCUGACGGAGCAACGCCGCGUGAGUGAUGAAGGUCUUCGGAUCGUAAAACUCUGUUAUUAGGGAAGAACAUAUGUGUAAGUAACUGUGCACAUCUUGACGGUACCUAAUCAGAAAGCCACGGCUAACUACGUG
RNAcentral lists this ribosomal RNA (497 nucleotides) under uncultured bacterium. RNAcentral's name for it is "partial 16S ribosomal RNA". It matches the Rfam family "Bacterial small subunit ribosomal RNA", at positions 28 to 507 of the family's 1533-position model. The record is from RNAcentral.